RNAcentral lists this transfer RNA (58 nucleotides) under Tessmannella kiplingi. RNAcentral describes it as "tRNA-Glu". The record is from RNAcentral. Lineage: Eukaryota; Metazoa; Arthropoda; Insecta; Hymenoptera; Liopteridae.
AAUUAUAUAGUUUAAUAAAAACUUUAUAAUUUCAUUAUAAUAAUAAUAAUAAUAAUUC